CUCCUUUGACGUUAGCGGCGGACGGGUGAGUAACACGUGGGUAACCUACCUAUAAGACUGGGAUAACUUCGGGAAACCGGAGCUAAUACCGGAUAAUAUUUCGAACCGCAUGGUUCGAUAGUGAAAGAUGGUUUUGCUACCACUUAUAGAUGGACCCGCGCCGUAUUAGCUAGUUGGUAAGGUAACGGCUUACCAAGGCGACGAUACGUAGCCGACCUGAGAGGGUGAUCGGCCACACUGGAACUGAGACACGGGUCCAGACUCCUACGGGAGGCAGCAGGC
RNAcentral lists this ribosomal RNA (282 nucleotides) under uncultured Staphylococcus sp. RNAcentral's name for it is "partial 16S ribosomal RNA". It matches the Rfam family "Bacterial small subunit ribosomal RNA", at positions 81 to 354 of the family's 1533-position model. Lineage: Bacteria; Bacillati; Bacillota; Bacilli; Caryophanales; Staphylococcaceae. The record is from RNAcentral.